GGAUACGCGCGGAGAAGAGCCAGCGCCCGUGCACUCCCUCCGCCCCGCGCGGGGGCGGCUCCUGCUCGCCCCGGCCCCUGCCCUGGGGGCAGCCCUCGCCUCGUCCCCCGCCCCGGCGGCAAGGGGGGACGGGCUGCCCGCCCUCCUCCGGGAGAGACAGCGGCGGACGAGCCAGGGCGCAGCGCUGGGGUGAGAGUGAGCUCCGGGGAUGCUGCGGAGACGGGAGCCGAGCCCGCCGUCGUGCUGCAGCCUCCUGCAAGUGAAAAUAAUGCGGGGAUGUGGUGCGGUGAGUGCUCGCAGGUAUAACACUUCCCUCACAAAAAUGUGGGGCUUGUAACUCCAUCCCUUCCCGUCUUUGCUGGUGUUUCCUAUCAGUCACAGCACUGGGACUCCUCAUCUUGCUCUCCAGAAACCAACCCAACUGGGCUAUCUAGUUGCAGAAGUUUGCUUUCUCAUACUGGAUUUUGAUUUCCACUUUGGAAGCAAGUCAGAGACCUGUUUGGUGAGGUCAAGAUGUCUCCAGCUGCAGAUGGAACUACAGGAACAAGAAUGAGUGAUGGUCACAGCACUAUAGUGCAUGGUUAAAAGCGAUGCCUCAGUGCCAGGAUGUCUGAACUCUUCAUCUACAAGGUGGAAAGAAAAACUGAGUUCACAACUGAGAUGCUGUUGAAGGCACUGACAGAAGACAGCAUGAAAAGCUGUCACCUCUCGGAUGGAGGUGGCAAACAAUCAUCAGUGUGCGGCAGGUGGCUGAAAAGACAACUGUCUCAGACAAACCAUCAGAGCCUUCAAGGACACCAGCUGAAUCACACACCAGGUUUUCUGGAGAACACUUGUGGUGCGACUUCAGCCAUCCUUUUUCAAGCAUGCAGAGCAGCAGCUUGCCCGUUGUAAUGGUGAAGAUGAGUCUGGCAGUCAGAAGUUGAAAGGUAUUGAUUUCCUGCUGGAAAAUGGGCCACCUCAGUUUGAAAUGCUUUAUUCCUACCCCAAAGAAAACUCCCCAUCUGAUGCAGAUAUCAAAUCAUUAUUUGCACACCAGGCUGGACUUGGAAGACUUCAGUAUUUUUUUCAUAACUUCUGAGUCCUUGGUGUUUGUCACUUGGUCUGUCUUAGCUACACUGGGAGCGGCACAGCCAUGUGAUGUGACCCCAGGAGCUUGUGCUCUGGGUACCCAUCUUUGGAGGAGGGAUAAGAGUUGCUUCCCUGUGUUACUGGUUUCUGGGCUAAGUUCUCCGAUGAAGGUUGUCGUUUCUGGUAUGUGAGCUCUCAGGCUGACAGUGCUCUGCUUCUCACUCGACUCUAAGUGAAUUUUACUUACAUGGCUGUCAGGGCUUAUACCCAUAACCCCUUUUCUUUUGCUUUCCACCUGUGUGUGCAUAUGCAGUGUGAUUUCUGAGAGGCUAUAAUGUCUCUGCUAUCAGAAAGCAGAAACUUUAAUAACCUCUGCGGUUUUGUAAUCCUUUCUCUCAUUUCCUUUUAAAUUAAUCCAACCCUGUCUUGCUGUGACAUAUGAGGUACUCUGCCUAAAAGGACUUAAGUGUGAUUAGAUUACAAGGUACUUCAAAGAUGCUUCACCUUCAGUUUGUUUUGGGCUGCUUAGAAUUAGUGGAACUAUGUGGCAAUGGGCAAAAGUUAUCCCAAGCAGGAUUUUUCCCUUUGGCUGAAAUUCCAGGAUGUGCCCAAAAGCCCACAGCUAUUGUGUGCAAUAUAGUCAAGUCAGCAGGAAAUUUGGGAACUUUGCAAAUUUGUCCUCUUUUGACAUAGCAGGUGUGCUCCCUGCUUUUUAUGUGUAAAAUGCCAUGAUGCCAACACCAGAAGUUUGGGAAUAUAAUGAACACCAUAAGCACUGUAAGGCAAUGAUCCUGCUGCCACAAAAAGUCAAU
Columba livia (rock pigeon) is the source of this 1883-nucleotide long non-coding RNA. RefSeq lists it as uncharacterized. NCBI's taxonomy places the organism in Eukaryota, Metazoa, Chordata, Aves, Columbiformes, Columbidae. The record is from RefSeq and is a predicted model, not a curated record. The transcript has 4 exons.